UUUAAAUAUAAUUUUAUUAAAAUAAGAAAAUUUUAUUUUAUUAUUAAUUAGAAAAAAUUAAUUUUAUUAUAGUCUAUUAUUAUUGUGAAAGAAUUAAAAAUUUAUAUAAAAGAAAAAUUUGAUUUUUGUACCUUGUGUAUCAGGGUUUAUUAAAUAUAAAUUUAUUUAAAUUUAUCUCGAAUUUAAAAGAGCUAAGAAGUUAUAUUUUUUAAUGUGGAAUAAUUAUUAAAAAUAACUUUUUUGUAAUGAAAUGUUAUUCGUUUUUAAAUAUAUCUAGUUUUUUAAGAAAUAAAUUUAAUUUAAUUAUUAAUUGAAUAAAAAAUUAAGUUUUUAAUUUUUUAUUAUUAAUAUUAAACAUUUUUAGGGAUGAGCUUAAAAAUGAAUUUUUAUUAAUUUGUAAAUUAAAUAAAAUUGUAGGAUUAAAAUUUUUUAUCAAUAAAAAAAUGUUAUAAUUAAUUUAUGAUUAAAUAUUAUUUUUAUAAAUAUAUUAAAUUUUUUAUUAAAAUGUUAGUUAAAAUAUUAAAAAUUAAUUAAUUAUGAUAAAAUUAGUAUAAGUUAUUAUGUAAAUAUAAAGAUUACAUAUAGGUUAAAUAAAGGAAUUCGGCAAAUUAUUUUUUACCUGUUUAUUAAAAACAUGUCUUUUUGAUUAUAAUUUAAAGUCUAGCCUGCCCAAUGAUAAUUGAAUGGCCGCGGUAUUUUGACCGUGCUAAGGUAGCAUAAUCAAUAGUUUUUUAAUUGAAAGCUGGAAUGAAGGGUUGGAUAAAAAAAUAACUGUCUUUAUUUAAUUUAAUUAGAAUUUUAUAUUUAAGUUAAAAAGCUUAAAUAUUGUUAAAAGACGAGAAGACCCUAUAGAGUUUAAUAGAUUAUUAAAUUAAUAUAUUUAGAAUUUAUUUUAUUAAUUGAUUAAUUUAUUUAAUUGGGGUGAUUAAAAAAUUAAAUGAACUUUUUUUGUAUUUUUACAUUUAUAAAUGAGUUUUUGAUCCAUAAUUAAUGAUUAUAAGAUAAAAUUACCUUAGGGAUAACAGCGUUAUUUUUUUUUAGAGUUCAAAUCGAAAAAAAAGAUUGCGACCUCGAUGUUGGAUUAAAAUUAAUUUUUGGUGUAGAAGCUAAAAUAUUAGGUCUGUUCGACCUUUAAAAUUUUACAUGAUCUGAGUUUAAACCGGUGUAAGCCAGGUUGGUUUCUAUCUUUAAUAAAUAAAAAUGCUUUAGUACGAAAGGAUCAAGUAUUUAAUUAAUAAUUUUUAUAUGAAUAAU
Molecule: ribosomal RNA, 1254 nt
Filed under: Chrysomela vigintipunctata (willow leaf beetle)
Lineage: Eukaryota; Metazoa; Arthropoda; Insecta; Coleoptera; Chrysomelidae
Description: 16S ribosomal RNA
Rfam family: Archaeal large subunit ribosomal RNA (bases 1018-1176)
Source: RNAcentral